UGAGUGUAUGGGAAUGUGCUUGUCUUUGCAUUAUUUCUGAAUUUGUCAUUGUCGUGAAUAUGCAUUCGUCUCUGUCUGUAUAUGAGUAGGUGUUUCUUUGUGCAUAAAAGUUGGUGUCGCUGCCUGAAUGAUUUUGAAUAUAUUUAUGUGAAUGAAUCUGCAGGCUUGUCUCUGUACAUCUGUUGUGUAUACCCAGGUGUCCAUGGAAGGAGUAG
Non-coding RNA from Pelobates cultripes (western spadefoot toad), 215 nucleotides. Lineage: Eukaryota; Metazoa; Chordata; Amphibia; Anura; Pelobatidae. The record is from the annotation of a GenBank genome assembly.